GAUGAACGCUGGCGGCGUGCCUAACACAUGCAAGUCGAGCGAACAGAUAAGGAGCUUGCCCUUUUGACGUUAGCGGCGGAAGGGUGAGUAAAACGUGGGUAACCUCUCUAUUAGACUGGGAUAAAUUCGGGAAACCGGAGCUAAAAUCGGACAUCAUUUGGAACCGCAUGGUUCUAAAGGGAAAGAUGGUGUUGCUAACACUUAUAGAUGGACUCGCGCCGUAUUAGCUAGUUGGUAAGGUAACGGCUUACCAAGGCGACGAUACGUAGCCGACUUGAGAGGGGGAUCGGCCACACUGGAACUGAGACACGGUCAAGACUCUUACGGGAGGCGGCAGUGGGGAACCUUCGGCAAUGAGCGAAAGCCUGACGGAGCAACGCCGCGUGGGUGAUGAAGGGUUUCGGCUGGUAAAACUCGUUUAUUAGGGAGGAAGGAAUGUGUGAGAAUAUGUGGACGUCUUGACGGUACCUAAACAGAAAGCCACGGCUAACUACGUG
Molecule: ribosomal RNA, 497 nt
Filed under: uncultured bacterium
Lineage: Bacteria
Description: partial 16S ribosomal RNA
Rfam family: Bacterial small subunit ribosomal RNA
Source: RNAcentral